RNAcentral lists this ribosomal RNA (420 nucleotides) under Fusobacteriota bacterium. RNAcentral describes it as "Fusobacteria bacterium partial 16S ribosomal RNA". It matches the Rfam family "Bacterial small subunit ribosomal RNA", at positions 355 to 776 of the family's 1533-position model. The record is from RNAcentral. Lineage: Bacteria; Fusobacteriati; Fusobacteriota.
UGGGGGAUAUUGCACAAUGGGCGAAAGCCUGAUGCAGCGACGCCGCGUGGGGGAUGAAGGCCUUCGGGUUGUAAACUUCUUUUGCUCUGAACAAGGCAUGCUCUUGGGGUGUGUUGAGUGUAGGGGUUGAUUAGCGCCGGCUAACUACGUGCCAGCAGCCGCGGUAAUACGUAGGGCGCGAGCGUUGUCCGGAAUUAUUGGGCGUAAAGGGCUUGUAGGUGGCUGGUUGCGUCUGUCGUGAAAGCUCAUGGCUUAACUGUGGGUUUGCGGUGGGUACGGGCUGGCUUGAGUGCAGUAGGGGAGGCUGGAAUUCCUGGUGUAGCGGUGGAAUGCGCAGAUAUCAGGAGGAAUACCGGUGGCGAAGGCGGGUCUCUGGGCUGUUACUGACGCUGAGGAGCGAAAGCGUGGGGAGCGAACAGG